Molecule: ribosomal RNA, 2847 nt
Filed under: Clostridioides difficile
Lineage: Bacteria; Bacillati; Bacillota; Clostridia; Peptostreptococcales; Peptostreptococcaceae
Description: bacterial LSU rRNA
Rfam family: Bacterial large subunit ribosomal RNA
Source: RNAcentral
UCAAGUUAUUAAGGGUGCAGGGCGGAUGCCUUGGCACUAGGAGCCGAUGAAGGACGUGAUAAGCUGCGAUAAGCUUCGGGGAGUUGCACGUAAACUUUGAUCCGAAGAUUUCCGAAUGAGGAAACUCACUUAGAGUAAUGUCUAAGUAUCAUUAAGUGAAUACAUAGCUUAAUGAGGGGAACUCAGGGAACUGAAACAUCUAAGUACCUGAAGGAAGAGAAAGAAAUUCGAUUCCGUAAGUAGCGGCGAGCGAACGCGGAUUAGCCCAAACCAAUAAAGUUUUCUUUAUUGGGGUUGCGGACAUAUCAUAACGAAGAGGUAUCGUAAUUGAAGAGGUUUGGAAAGACCCACCACAGAAGGUAAUAGUCCUGUAUGUUAAACGAGAAGACUUUAGAUAUGAUCCAGAGUACCACGGGACACGUGAAACCCUGUGGGAAGCAGGAGGGACCACCCUCCAAGGCUAAAUACUACCUAGUGACCGAUAGCGUAUAGUACCGUGAGGGAAAGGUGAAAAGAACCCCGGGAGGGGAGUGAAAUAGAACCUGAAACCCUGCACUUACAAGCUGUGGAAGCACAUUUCUUGUGUGACCGCGUACUUUUUGUAGAACGGGCCAACGAGUUACGUUAAGUAGCAAGGUUAAGCACUUAAGGUGCGGAGCCGUAGCGAAAGCGAGUUUUAACUGAGCGUUCAGUUACUUGACGUAGACCCGAAACCGGGCGACCUACCCAUGAGCAGGAUGAAGCGAAAGUAAAAUUUCGUGGAGGUCCGAACCCACGAGCGUUGAAAAGCUCGGGGAUGACUUGUGGGUAGCGGUGAAAUUCCAAUCGAGCCCGGAGAUAGCUGGUUCUCCCCGAAAUAGCUUUAGGGCUAGCCUCAAGGUGAGAGAUACGGAGGUAGAGCACUGAAUGUCCUAGGGGGUAUUGCACCUACCGAAGACUAUCAAACUCCGAAUGCCGUCAUCUUAUACUUGGGAGUCAGACUGUGGGUGAUAAGAUUCAUAGUCGAAAGGGCAACAGCCCAGAUCGUCAGCUAAGGUCCCUAAAUGUAAGUUAAGUGGUAAAGGAUGUGGGAUUGCACAGACAACCAGGAUGUUGGCUUAGAAGCAGCCACUCAUUCAAAGAGUGCGUAAUAGCUCACUGGUCGAGUGAUCCUGCGCCGAAGAUUUCCGGGGCUAAAACUUACUACCGAAGCUACGGCAUCAGUAAUGAUGGGUAGGGGAGCUUCCCAUACGGGUUGAAGCAUGACCGUAAGGACAUGUGGACAGUAUGGGAGUGAGAAUGUUGGCAUGAGUAGCGAGAUGUGGGUGAGAAUCCCACAGGCCGUAAACCCAAGGUUUCCAGGGGAAGGUUCGUCCGCCCUGGGUUAGUCGGGACCUAAGCUGAGGCCGAAAGGCGUAGGUGAUGGACAACAGGUUGAUAUUCCUGUACUACCGAUAACCGUUUGAGAGAAGGGAUGACACAGUAGGAUAAGCUAAGCACACUGUUGGUUAUGUGUGCCCAAGCAUUGAGGCAGUCAAAGUAGGCAAAUCCGCUUUGAUAAUGCUGGGAUGUGAUGGGGAGCGAAAUUUAGUAGCGAAGUAGCUGAUUUCACACUGUCAAGAAAAGUCUCUAUCGAGGUUAAAGGUACCCGUACCGCAAACCGACACAGGUGGGUGAGGAGAGUAUCCUAAGGCCAGCGAGAGAACUGUUGUUAAGGAACUCGGCAAAAUGACCCCGUAACUUAGGGAUAAGGGGUGCCACCAUCAGGUGGCCGCAGAGAAUAGGCCCAAGCGACUGUUUACCAAAAACAUAGGUUUCUGCUAAGUCGCAAGACGAUGUAUAGGAGCUGACGCCUGCCCGGUGCUGGAAGGUUAAGGGGAUCUGUUAGAGCAAUCGAAGCAGUGAACUUAAGCCCCAGUAAACGGCGGCCGUAACUAUAACGGUCCUAAGGUAGCGAAAUUCCUUGUCGGGUAAGUUCCGACCCGCACGAAAGGCGUAACGAUUUGGGCACUGUCUCAACAACAGACUCGGUGAAAUUGUAAUUCCGGUGAAGAUGCCGGAUACCUGCGACAGGACGGAAAGACCCCAUGGAGCUUUACUGUAGCUUGACAUUGGGUCUUGGUACUACAUGUACAGGAUAGGUGGGAGGCUUUGAAACCAGGACGCCAGUUUUGGCGGAGCCAUCCUUGGGAUACCACCCUUGUAGUACUGGGACUCUAACCAUAGGCCAUGAAUCUGGUCUUGGGACACUGUCAGGUGGGCAGUUUGACUGGGGCGGUCGCCUCCCAAAAGGUAACGGAGGCGCUCAAAGGUUCUCUCAGUACGGUCGGAAAUCGUACGUAGAGUGUAAAGGCAAAAGAGAGCUUGAUUGCAAGACAUACAGGUCGAGCAAGGAUGAAAAUCGGACUUAGUGAUCCGGUGGUUCUGCGUGGAAGGGCCAUCGCUCAACGGAUAAAAGCUACCCUGGGGAUAACAGGCUUAUCUCCCCCAAGAGUCCACAUCGACGGGGAGGUUUGGCACCUCGAUGUCGGCUCAUCACAUCCUGGGGCUGUAGUAGGUCCCAAGGGUUGGGCUGUUCGCCCAUUAAAGUGGUACGCGAGCUGGGUUCAGAACGUCGUGAGACAGUUCGGUCCCUAUCCGUCGCAGGCGUAGGAAAUUUGAGAAGACCUGUCCUUAGUACGAGAGGACCGGGAUGGACGUACCUCUGGUGUACCAGUUGUCCUGCCAAGGGCAUGGCUGGGUAGCUAUGUACGGAAUGGAUAAGCGCUGAAAGCAUCUAAGCGCGAAGCCAACUUCAAGAUAAGAUUUCCCACCGCAAGGGUAAGACCCCAGAAAGACUAUCUGGUUGAUAGGUCGAAGGUGUAAGUG